This 73-nucleotide transfer RNA is filed under the name Gemmatimonadota bacterium. Its description in RNAcentral is "Gemmatimonadetes bacterium (activated sludge metagenome) tRNA-Arg". It matches the Rfam family "tRNA". From Rfam's summary of the family: Transfer RNA (tRNA) molecules are approximately 80 nucleotides in length. Their secondary structure includes four short double-helical elements and three loops (D, anti-codon, and T loops). Further hydrogen bonds mediate the characteristic L-shaped molecular structure. tRNAs have two regions of fundamental functional importance: the anti-codon, which is responsible for specific mRNA codon recognition, and the 3' end, to which the tRNAs corresponding amino acid is attached (by aminoacyl-tRNA synthetases). tRNAs cope with the degeneracy of the genetic code in two manners: having more than one tRNA (with a specific anti-codon) for a particular amino acid; and 'wobble' base-pairing, i.e. permitting non-standard base-pairing at the 3rd anti-codon position. The record is from RNAcentral. Lineage: Bacteria; Pseudomonadati; Gemmatimonadota.
ACCCCGGAAGUGCAACCGGACGCACGCGGCCCUCCGAAGGCCGAGGUUCCGGGUUCGAGUCCCGGACGGGGUA